RNAcentral lists this ribosomal RNA (533 nucleotides) under uncultured Thermomicrobium sp. RNAcentral describes it as "bacterial SSU rRNA". It matches the Rfam family "Bacterial small subunit ribosomal RNA", at positions 9 to 524 of the family's 1533-position model. Lineage: Bacteria; Pseudomonadati; Thermomicrobiota; Thermomicrobia; Thermomicrobiales; Thermomicrobiaceae. The record is from RNAcentral.
GAGUUUGAUCGUGGCUCAGGACGAACGCUGGCGGCGUGCCUAACACAUGCAAGUCGAACGAGUCCACACCUUCGGGUGUGAGGCGAGUGGCGGACGGGUGAGUAACACGUGAGGAAUCUGUCGGAGUACGGGGGAUAACCCGGGGAAACCCGGGCUAAUACCGCAUGGUCGGUCUCCAGGAUCUGGGGACCGGGAAAGGUGGCCUCUUUACAAUGCUACCGCGCUCCGAGGAUCUCGCGGGCUAUCAGCUAGUUGGUGAGGUCACGGCUCACCAAGGCUACGACGGCUACGGGGUCUGAGAGGACGACCCCGCACAUUGGAACUGAGACACGGUCCAGACUCCUACGGGAGGCAGCAGUGGGGAAUUUUGGGCAAUGGCCGAAAGGCUGACCCAGCGACGCCGCGUGCGGGAGGACGCCCCUCGGGGUGUAAACCGCUGUCAGGGGGACGAACGACCUCGUUCGAACAGAGCGAGGUGUGACGGUACCCUCAAAGGAAGCACCGGCUAACUCUGUGCCAGCCGCCGCCGUAAG